ACUCCUACGGGAGGCAGCAGUAGGGAAUCUUCCACAAUGGGCGCAAGCCUGAUGGAGCAACACCGCGUGAGUGAAGAAGGGUUUCGGCUCGUAAAGCUCUGUUGUUAAAGAAGAACACGUAUGAGAGUAACUGUUCAUACGUUGACGGUAUUUAACCAGAAAGUCACGGCUAACUACGUGCCAGCAGCCGCGGUAAUACGUAGGUGGCAAGCGCUAUCCGGAUUUAUUGGGCGUAAAGAGAGUGCAGGCGGUUUUCUAAGUCUGAUGUGAAAGCCUUCGGCUUAACCGGAGAAGUGCAUCGGAAACUGGAUAACUUGAGUGCAGAAGAGGGUAGUGGAACUCCAUGUGUAGCGGUGGAAUGCGUAGAUAUAUGGAAGAACACCAGUGGCGAAGGCGGCUACCUGGUCUGCAACUGACGCUGAGACUCGAAAGCAUGGGUAGCGAACAGGAUUAGAUACCCUGGUAGGAUAGCG
This 473-nucleotide ribosomal RNA is filed under the name uncultured bacterium. Its description in RNAcentral is "bacterial SSU rRNA". It matches the Rfam family "Bacterial small subunit ribosomal RNA", at positions 335 to 801 of the family's 1533-position model. The record is from RNAcentral.